RNAcentral lists this ribosomal RNA (353 nucleotides) under uncultured Megamonas sp. Its description in RNAcentral is "bacterial SSU rRNA". It matches the Rfam family "Bacterial small subunit ribosomal RNA", at positions 21 to 358 of the family's 1533-position model. The record is from RNAcentral. Lineage: Bacteria; Bacillati; Bacillota; Negativicutes; Selenomonadales; Selenomonadaceae.
GGCUCAGGACGAACGCUGGCGGCGUGCUUAACACAUGCAAGUCGAACGGGGUGUUUAUUUCGGUAAACACCAAGUGGCGAACGGGUGAGUAACGCGUAAGCAAUCUACCUUCAAGAUGGGGACAACACUUCGAAAGGGGUGCUAAUACCGAAUGAAUGUAAGAGUAUCGCAUGAGACACUUACUAAAGGAGGCCUCUGACAUAAGCUUCCGCUUGAAGAUGAGCUUGCGUCUGAUUAGCUAGUUGGUGAGGGUAAAGGCCCACCAAGGCGACGAUCAGUAGCCGGUCUGAGAGGAUGAACGGCCACAUUGGGACUGAGACACGGCCCAGACUCCUACGGGAGGCAGCAGUAGG